This 205-nucleotide unclassified non-coding RNA is filed under the name plant metagenome. Its description in RNAcentral is "partial contains small subunit ribosomal RNA and internal transcribed spacer 1". The record is from RNAcentral.
AAUGUCGUAACAAGGUUUCCGUAGGUGAACCCGCGGAAUGGAUCAUUAGUUGACAGGCCUUCGCGCGGUACCCUGAAAUCCCUCCUUACAGCGGCCGGAGUUCGGCGCAAGGGCGAAGCCCCUCGCGGGGCGGAGUCCGCCGGAAAUUCUCGCAAAGCCAUGCCUUGAAAACUGCGGUCUGAGAGAAAUGAGAAUUAGCGAAAAU